GCCUCUCUCCAUCCUCCAGGCAGCUGUAGAGGCUGCCACAAAAAUAAGAUUAACUCCCUCCUCUAACCAUUUUUAAGUUCCUUCGCUGGUUUGCAAACGUCUUCUGUACUAAACUUUCCCUUGAAUGCCUCCCUAUACCUCCACCUCCACCUUUCUUCUCUUGUAUUACACCCCCCCCCCCCCACUCAUUCUCAUGGGUGUAAUUCUGGGCAGCAUAUUUCUCUAUUCCUUUGUUCUCUUCUGUCUUGCUCUUCCUUUCCUCCUUGUAGGUGGGGACAAUCUUUGUUGAUUCAACAAGUUGUUCCUUAUCUCUAUUAAUGUCUGCAUGGAGAGGAGAAGCCAAACCCAACUUAAAGUUAUCAGAUUUGGCCCAUGAAGACAAGCUAUCCUUAUUACAACACUUAGUCUGGAGCAAUGAAGCAUAUGCAUUCCCUAGUUAUGAAGAUUAGGGAAAAAAGUCACUUUCAGUGGAAGACCGAAACACUGCAAGUUUAACUGGAAUAAAAUACCAGAAACCAGUGGAAUAAAUAUCAGCCCCACUGCAGGUCAUCUCUGAAGGCUCUGAAAGGAUCCAUUACUUUACAGGUUGCUGCUCCAGUGAAAGAAAAUCUGGUGCUUUUUUUCCCACGAAGUUGUGUGUGUGUGAGGGGGGGAGGGGACUCAUAAAAAUUAGACCACUUUGUGCACUUUCUCAUCUUUUGACCAGCUACUAUUUGUGAGAUGAAUUUCAGUGAACCAGAUGGAUUUGCCGAUAGAUGUAACAAUCCCUUAUUACCUCAGCCCCUAGGGAAGAGGCAGGUGACAGAAUGAUUUCGGCAAUAAAAUGAA
This is a long non-coding RNA of Zalophus californianus (California sea lion), 828 nucleotides long. RefSeq lists it as uncharacterized. Lineage: Eukaryota; Metazoa; Chordata; Mammalia; Carnivora; Otariidae. The record is from RefSeq and is a predicted model, not a curated record. The transcript has 3 exons.